UAUUCAUGGGUUGUCACUGUUUAGCUGCCACUAAUAAAGGAGAACAUGUGGUAUUUGGCUUUCUGUUCCUGUUAGUUUCCUAAGGAUAAUGCCCUCCAG
Sapajus apella (tufted capuchin) is the source of this 99-nucleotide long non-coding RNA. RefSeq lists it as uncharacterized. Lineage: Eukaryota; Metazoa; Chordata; Mammalia; Primates; Cebidae. The record is from RefSeq and is a predicted model, not a curated record. The transcript has 3 exons.